AUAGGGAUAAACUAAUAAAAGUUGUUGGGUUCAUACCCCGAAGAUGAGGAUGUUUCUCUCCCUUUA
RNAcentral lists this transfer RNA (66 nucleotides) under Solen grandis (grand razor shell). Its description in RNAcentral is "tRNA-Met". Lineage: Eukaryota; Metazoa; Mollusca; Bivalvia; Adapedonta; Solenidae. The record is from RNAcentral.